AUUGACCUCGGAUCAGGUAGGGAUACCCGCUGAACUUAAGCAUAUCAAUAAGCGGAGGAAAAGAAACCAACAGGGAUUGCCUCAGUAACGGCGAGUGAAGCGGCAACAGCUCAAAUUUGAAAUCUGGCCCCUUCGGGGUCCGAGUUGUAAUUUGUAGAGAGUGCUUCGGGUGCGACCGCGGUCUAAGUCCAUUGGAACAUGGCGUCAUAGAGGGUGAGAAUCCCGUAUGUGACUGUGGCUCAAGCCCGCGUGAAGCCUCUUCGACGAGUCGAGUUGUUUGGGAAUGCAGCUCAAAAUGGGUGGUAAAUUUCAUCUAAAGCUAAAUACUGGCUGGAGACCGAUAGCGCACAAGUAGAGUGAUCGAAAGAUGAAAAGCACUUUGGAAAGAGAGUCAAACAGUACGUGAAAUUGUUGAAA
RNAcentral lists this ribosomal RNA (417 nucleotides) under Nephromopsis pallescens. RNAcentral describes it as "eukaryotic LSU rRNA". It matches the Rfam family "Eukaryotic large subunit ribosomal RNA", at positions 1 to 413 of the family's 3401-position model. Lineage: Eukaryota; Fungi; Ascomycota; Lecanoromycetes; Lecanorales; Parmeliaceae. The record is from RNAcentral.